Molecule: ribosomal RNA, 301 nt
Filed under: uncultured bacterium
Lineage: Bacteria
Description: partial 16S ribosomal RNA
Rfam family: Bacterial small subunit ribosomal RNA
Source: RNAcentral
CAGCAGCCGCGGGAAUACGUAGGUGGCAAGCGUUGUCCGGAAUUAUUGGGCGUAAAGCGCGCGCAGGCGGAUAGGUCAGUCUGUCUUAAAAGUUCGGGGCUUAACCCCGUGAUGGGAUGGAAACUGCCAAUCUAGAGUAUCGGAGAGGAAAGUGGAAUUCCUAGUGUAGCGGUGAAAUGCGUAGAUAUUAGGAAGAACACCAGUGGCGAAGGCGACUUUCUGGACGAAAACUGACGCUGAGGCGCGAAAGCCAGGGGAGCGAACGGGAUUAGAUACCCCCGUAGUCCCUGUCUCUUAUACA